Molecule: long non-coding RNA, 226 nt
Organism: Empidonax traillii (willow flycatcher)
Lineage: Eukaryota; Metazoa; Chordata; Aves; Passeriformes; Tyrannidae
Exons: 2
Source: RefSeq, a predicted model, not a curated record
CUAAUCUACUCUAUUUUUUAGGUGGUGAUAUGUCAAAGAAUGUAAACCCAUCUCAGCUGGCCAAACUGAACCAACAGAUGGCAAAGAUGAUGGAUCCAAGAGUUCUUCAUCAUAUGGGUGGCAUGGCAGGUUUGCAGUCAAUGAUGAGACAAUUUCAACAAGGUGCUGCUGGCAAUAUGAAAGGCAUGAUGGGAUUCAAUAAUAUGUAAAGAAGCCUUAAUACAAA